GAUAAACGCUGGCGGCAGGCCUAACACAUGCAAGUCGAACGGUAACAGGAAGCAGCUUGCUGCUUCGCUGACGAGUGGCGGACGGGUGAGUAAUGUCUGGGAAACUGCCUGAUGGAGGGGGAUAACUACUGGAAACGGUAGCUAAUACCGCAUAACGUCGCAAGACCAAAGAGGGGGGCCUUCGGGCCUCUUGCCAUCGGAUGUGCCCAGAUGGGAUUAGCUAGUAGGUGGGGUAACGGCUCACCUAGGCGACGAUCCCUAGAUGGUCUGAGAGGAUGACCAGCCCCACUGGAACUGAGACACGGUCCAGACUCCUACGGGAGGCAGCAGUGGGGAAUAUUGCACAAUGGGCGCAAGCCUGAUGCAGCCAUGCCGCGUGUAUGAAGAAGGCCUUCGGGUUGUAAAGUACUUUCAGCGGGGAGGAAGGGAGUAAAGUUAAUACCUUUGCUCAUUGACGUUACCCGCAGAAGAAGCACCGGCUAACUCCGUGCCAGCCGCCGCCGUAA
RNAcentral lists this ribosomal RNA (506 nucleotides) under uncultured bacterium. Its description in RNAcentral is "partial 16S ribosomal RNA". It matches the Rfam family "Bacterial small subunit ribosomal RNA", at positions 28 to 523 of the family's 1533-position model. The record is from RNAcentral.